Gavialis gangeticus (Gharial) is the source of this 879-nucleotide long non-coding RNA. RefSeq lists it as uncharacterized. The record is from RefSeq and is a predicted model, not a curated record. Lineage: Eukaryota; Metazoa; Chordata; Crocodylia; Gavialidae. The transcript has 2 exons.
UGAUUAGUCUCCUAGAAUUAACCUACUGCGCAUUUAGCAUCUUGUGUAGAAGUGCCCAAACAGUAGCAAAAAUUGCUUUUGUAAGUGCAGCCUCAGGUGGCUGAUUCUCUUUCUCUACCAUCAUGGCCUGGACCUUGCGGAGCAGGCACAGUUAAAAGCUCAGCUCCCCCUGAGCAUCUGCUGAGUGUACGGAGUAUGUCAGUGCAGGAACAUGUUAGCUCCAUGUGGCAGGGAGCACUUGAUCCAUCGUAAUAUUGAGUUACAUCACGAGGACCUGAACUAUGCGACCCAGAAUAUUUGACCUAAUGUCAAGAGGGGCCUAGGCCUAUUGAGAUAUUUCACUGAGACACCCUGGCCUCCUUCCACUAGCGGAAUCUGAUCCAGCAACAGAAAAGUGUGAGAAUUUUCAGCUGUCCCCAUCCCAUGUGAAACAGUCAGGGAGUUGGUGGUCUCCAGAAUCUUGCAGAAUCAGACCCUAUAAAGGCAUCUAUGGAGUGGAUCAGGGCAGCUGCUUUAACAGCAACAAGAGAAAUCCUAGACAAUAAGACUGGAAGGGACCUCAAGACAGCCCUUGAGGUUGAGAAGUGUGAAUGAGAGCUGCAGAAGGACUUCAGGGCAGCAGAAUGGAAUGGCCCAAUUUGGAAUCUUGCCAGGCCCAAGGCUAGCAUAUAUAUGUGAAGUAAGCUAUGGGAACUCUAGUUCAGUCAGUACUUUACUUUUACCUCAUAUGCCAAAGGAAGGACCUUCUGCCAUAUGCUGUCCUCAAGUACUGGACCUGAGGCAUGGGUUCACAACCAUCUCAGACCAGAAGCACUGACAAAUUUGAAGAAACUUGUUGGCCCCAGAAAACUGAAACCUCUACACUUUGCCUAAGCCACC